Molecule: unclassified non-coding RNA, 1381 nt
Organism: Acromyrmex echinatior (Panamanian leafcutter ant)
Lineage: Eukaryota; Metazoa; Arthropoda; Insecta; Hymenoptera; Formicidae
Source: RefSeq, a predicted model, not a curated record
CACUUCUGAAAUAAAAGUUACGCAAAAUAAGUAAAUUAUAAAAUUAUAUUUAUUACCUUUUUUAAUUAAAAUUCGUACGAACCAAUGUAAACUAUUUUGCAUAAGUAGGUAUAAAUACGUCGCAAUGCUGUGAAACCGAAAUCUGAAGUGUUUGAAAGAGAACUGUGACAAUGUAAAUAAGAAAACCUAAUCAAAAUAUGCGCGGCGACUCGGCGUUUAUUUCGGCAAUGAGCUGUGCGCCGACACGCAGAAAUACUAGACGCCGAUAACAGACGAUUGUAGCAUGCUAAAUGCCACACCAAUGCGAUGUUUGUCGCGCCGGUCGCGCGCGACACGCGAUAUCCAAUGAACGUACAGCUUUAUCGAUGUUCUCAUUCUAAAGUUAUACGCUCAUUUGAAUAUCGUGUGUCGUGUGCGACGAACAUCGCGCUGGUGUGCAGCUGGCAUUACACUAUAUGCGGAUAAAUUUUAUUACUCAAUCUGCAGGACUGCCAAUCUUUAAUGUCAACACUACACUCACACGCCAAAGUUUUUUUUCGCUAUCCAGUCAAAAAAUAUUUUCUUUUUAUAUAAAAUCCCGGACUCUCAUGAUUAUCCUGGAUGCCUUUCGAAAACCCCUCCGGACGUCCCCGGACGUCAUAAAAAAGAGGACGGUGUCCAGAGAAAAGAGGACGGAUAGCAAACCUACGUAUGGGUGAUUUAUGUAAUUCGCAGUUCCAUACGAGUGUGAAGUUCUGGGCAAAUCGGCACCGAAUCAUUAGGCGUACGCCACUGCGACUGCCCUUCUGAUGCUCUCCGCAGACGACGGAUCUCCUUCCACGAGUCGCCCACCGGAACCUACCUGAUAUCUUGGGCAACUAACAUGCGUACCAUUAGGAAACGCGGACGAACCUCCUAUGUCCGGAGGAGUAGGCGGAACCGUUCCCCAGGGCCACCCACAAACGCGCCGCUACAACCGACUGGCGAACAAUUCAACACAAUAGAUCUCCUAUUCACCAACAGAGACACAACCAUUAGAUCUUAUCCUCGACUAUUCCCCUCCUCCUCUCAAGGAAUGAUUCCCUCUCCUUCUCGCGAAGAAGGAUUUUCACUCCCUCCUCCCUUGAAUCAGCUCCCGCCUCUCCCGUUUCAACCGAAUCCCCAGCCGAUCGACUGGGAUCGGAUAUUCAGGCUAUAUUCGUCCUCCUCCAACGAAGGGGACAGAUUAGUCACUGUAUACAUCCCCGGAAAUUCCACAUCUUACACCGUCCUCUACAAGCACCUCAUCCCGAUGUGUUCCUGCAACACUUUCCUCGCCCCCUCUCAUACCCGUUAACCCUUUCCUCUCCACACACACACACACACACACACACACGCAUACAUCCAUAAACUAUAAUUUAUA